RNAcentral lists this ribosomal RNA (253 nucleotides) under uncultured bacterium. RNAcentral's name for it is "partial 16S ribosomal RNA". It matches the Rfam family "Bacterial small subunit ribosomal RNA", at positions 524 to 776 of the family's 1533-position model. The record is from RNAcentral.
GACGAACCGUGCGAACGUUAUUCGGAAUCACUGGGCUUAAAGGGCGCGUAGGCGGGCCGCCAGGUCCGGGGUGAACGCCUCCAGCUCAACUGGAGAAGUGCCUUGGAUACCGGCGGCCUCGAGGGAGGCAGGGGCGUGCGGAACUUCGGGUGGAGCGGUGAAAUUCGUAGAGAUCCGGAGGAACACCGACGGCGUAGGCAGCGCCCUGGACGACACCUGACGCUGAGGCACGAAAGCUGGGGGAGCGAACAGG